AUGCGAUAAGUAGUGUGAAUUGCAGAAUUCAGUGAAUCAUCGAAUCUUUGAACGCACAUUGCGCCCCUUGGUAUUCCAUGGGGCAUGCCUGUUCGAGCGUCAUUUGUACCCUCAAGCUUUGCUUGGUGUUGGGCGUCUUGUCGUAUUACGACUCGCCUUAAAUACAUUGGCAGCCGGCACUUUGGCCUAGGAGCGCAGCACAUUUUGCGAUCGUAGCCCGUUGUACUGGCGUCCAUCAAGAACAUUUACCACGUUUGACCUCGGAUCAGGUAGGGAUACCCGCUGAACUUAA
This 292-nucleotide unclassified non-coding RNA is filed under the name uncultured Setophoma. RNAcentral's name for it is "partial contains 5.8S ribosomal RNA, internal transcribed spacer 2, and large subunit ribosomal RNA". The stretch from base 1 to 102 matches the Rfam family "5.8S ribosomal RNA", at positions 53 to 154 of the family's 154-position model. Lineage: Eukaryota; Fungi; Ascomycota; Dothideomycetes; Pleosporales; Phaeosphaeriaceae. The record is from RNAcentral.